RNAcentral lists this ribosomal RNA (361 nucleotides) under uncultured bacterium. Its description in RNAcentral is "bacterial SSU rRNA". It matches the Rfam family "Bacterial small subunit ribosomal RNA", at positions 29 to 417 of the family's 1533-position model. The record is from RNAcentral.
AACGAACGCUGGCGGCAUGCCUAACACAUGCAAGUCGAACGAGACCUUCGGGUCUAGUGGCGCACGGGUGCGUAACGCGUGGGAAUCUGCCCUUUGCUUCGGAAUAACAGUUAGAAAUGACUGCUAAUACCGGAUGAUGUCUUCGGACCAAAGAUUUAUCGGCAAAGGAUGAGCCCGCGUAGGAUUAGGUAGUUGGUGGGGUAAAGGCCUACCAAGCCGACGAUCCUUAGCUGGUCUGAGAGGAUGAUCAGCCACACUGGGACUGAGACACGGCCCAGACUCCUACGGGAGGCAGCAGUGGGGAAUAUUGGACAAUGGGCGCAAGCCUGAUCCAGCAAUGCCGCGUGAGUGAUGAAGGCCU